CCUCCCUGUGUCCAAAACAUCUUCGUGUGACAAAAGACAAAAUGAACUGCAGUACUACAUUGCAAAGCUGUUGGAGCGUUCUCCAGGUGAGCCUCUGGAGGAACAUCAGGUGGAGCUGAACAAGACCAGAGCAGAAACGCAGUCCGCUAACUCAGGUGUGAGUUCUCAGGUGGAGUCGAGCUGGAGCAG
Long non-coding RNA from Silurus meridionalis, 189 nucleotides. RefSeq lists it as uncharacterized. The transcript is spliced from 3 exons. The record is from RefSeq and is a predicted model, not a curated record. NCBI's taxonomy places the organism in Eukaryota, Metazoa, Chordata, Actinopteri, Siluriformes, Siluridae.